GUUAUGUAUUGAAGAAUACAGUCUAUAAUACAUAUAAAAUAUGUGUUAAUUGACUAUACUAUCAGCAAGGCUUCAAGUCAAGGGGGAGGUGGAUGCCAUGUUGUGAGGACACUCAAGCAGCUCUACAGAGACGCCCCCAGGAUGAGAAACCGAGGCCUCCUGCCAACAGCCAUAGAGUGCACCAUCCAGUCCCAGUCAAACCUUCAGAUGACUGCAGCCCAGGCCAACACCUUGAUUGCAGCUUCAUAAGAGACUCUGAUAGUAGCACCACCCAGAUGAGGAGACUGAAGUACAGGAGAGGUUACAUAACUUAUCCAAGGGGUGUUUCCAGAAGAUAUUAGCCUUUGAAUUGGUGGACAAAUUGGUGAAUUGGUGGACAUGAUGUCAACAUCAUCGGUAGUCAUCAUUUGAAUCUGUUGGGGCUCAAAUAGAACAAAAGCAGAGAGAAAGCGAAAGGUCAAAUUUUCUUUAUGAGCUGAGACAUCCAUCUUCUCCAGUCGUCAGAUAUCUAAGCUCUGGUUCUGGGCCUUCAGACUCCUGGACUUACAACAGUGGCCUUCCAUCCCCCUGCUCCCCACCCUGCUUCUCAGGCCUUCAAAUUAGCAUGGAAUUAAACACCAACUUUUCUGAGUCUCCAGGUGACACUGCAGGUUCUGGGAUUUCUCAGCCUCCAUAAUGUUAUGAGUCAAUUCCCACAAUAAAUAUCUCUAUAUCUCUGUCUCUCUUUAUAUAUAUGUAUAAAUAUUUAUUAUAUUCAGAUAUAUAUGGAAAAAAACAUAUACCAUUAUUUUUACUAACAUUUAACUGAAAGUUAGCAUUUUCUUGUGUUGUGAACAUAGCCCAGAAAGCACAAUAGGAUUGACAACACUGGGGCAUCAAUCAAUCAACCAAUCAAUCAUCAAUAUACCAAUCAAUCAUCAAUCAUCUAGCUAUCAAUCAAUAAUCUCUAUCUAUCUAUCUAUCUAUCUAUCUAUCAUCUAUACAUCUAUCUCUAUCCAUCUAUCUCUAUCAUCUAUCUCUCCUAUUGGUUUUGUUUCUCUGG
RNAcentral lists this long non-coding RNA (1042 nucleotides) under Papio anubis (olive baboon). Its description in RNAcentral is "lncRNA (ENSPANG00000041907.1)". Lineage: Eukaryota; Metazoa; Chordata; Mammalia; Primates; Cercopithecidae. The record is from RNAcentral.